RNAcentral lists this unclassified non-coding RNA (1618 nucleotides) under Hevea brasiliensis (rubber tree). Lineage: Eukaryota; Viridiplantae; Streptophyta; Magnoliopsida; Malpighiales; Euphorbiaceae. The record is from RNAcentral.
UAUCUGAUUCUAAGGUUUCUGUUAUUUCCUGCAAAGGAAAACGUAUACUAUUGACUUCAAAUUUGUAGUCAACUCGCUAGUACUAUCUAGCCAUGACCUUAUCCCUAUAUGGAGACGAAACUUGUCACUCUCUCCAAAAGGUCCUUCCUCGCAAUUCCACCCUGCGCUUUCUUUCAAAAUUAUUCUUUCCUUCCAAUUCUUGGGCCCUACGUUCUCCACUUACAUUUUUCUUCUCCCAUCCACAUAGAAAGAGCCGUCCACCAAUGGAACCAACAUCAAUCUUGAGGGCCCAGUCCUCUCUUGUUCUGACUAGUAAAAUCCAAAGCCCUGCUGGUGUACUAAACACACAUAGAUAUCCCCUGAUAAAAAUUGGCGCCAUAUUCCAAGCUUCUUGUGCACGUAACAACAAAUUUCAGGGACUGGAAUGUUAUGAAAUGGCACUAUUUUGUCUUACACUAAGUUCUUAAUCAAAAUAAUUUGCUUAAAAAAAUUUUCCAUUUCUUACCUCUUACCCUUCUACUUCAAUGCCUUCCUCUGCCACUGUAAGCAAUUCUGAAGCAGUGUAACAGGAGAACUUUUUGCUAGAAAUGGGUAAUUCCUUGAGUUGUUGUAGUCGAUAUGCAGAUCGCAUCAGUACUGAAGGUGGUAAUGAUUAAUUGUUCUUAUUUUUUCUUCUUUCUCUAUCUCUCUCCUUCUCCAUUACAUCAAGGGCGUUGCAGAUGUUUGAAAUGAAUACAAACAAUUUUUCCUCGCUAACUAGCUAUGGGAUUUUCUUAAAAUAUAAAAUAGUUGAAUAAUUCAUGUUUUUACAGAUUCAGCUGCUGUGAUAUCUUUUAGCUCGUCCGAGUUAAGUGCAUACACUAAUGGGUUUAGUGCAAAAAAUUUGCUUGGGCAUGGAGGAUUUGGCAGUGUUUAUCUUGGAAACUAUAAUGGUAUGCUAGUAGCUGUCAAGGUCUCUCGCCAAAUAGAUACAAAAACCAGGCUUCAAUGGCAGGUGAGACAUUUCUGUUUGAUCAUUUGCAAUUAAACCUCAUUCAAAAUCAUGCAUUUAUUCCAUUGAAAAACAGAGAAUAGUCUGAGUAAUUUCUUUGACUGCAAAGAAUUCAUUUGAAGAUAGAAAUUAAAGAUAACCAAAUGCAGACACUUACCGCUCACAAACACUUUGAUCUUGUUUUUCUUGCAAUUUCUAGACUGAUUUUCUUUGUUUCAUGCUGUGUUGUGUGCUAUUUUUCAACUCUGCCUUCUUCCUGCCAGCUGAUUGUAAGAAUUUUCUUCAUAAUUGAACACCAUCAACUCUUUAAUUGCACACCAUCAACUCUUUAAUUGCAUUUCUUCUCUUUUCAGUUACAAUAACUGGAACCAAGCCAAAUGACAUAUACAGCUUGGGAGUGAUGAUAUUGCAGCUAAUUAUGAAGGAGAAGGUCGUCUCAUUUCCAGGAUCUAGCGUUCCCUGGCAUAUUACUCACUGGGCGAGCACAAUUCACUCUGCCAAAGGACAUGCAGUUCAUCAAAAAUUAACAACCACUGGGUGCUCCAAAUUGGCUGCAAUUGCAGUUACAAAACUUGGAUUGGACUGUCUCCAUCCUACAAUGUCUGAGCGUCCAAAUAUUGAUGAAGU